UGGGGAAUAUUGCACAAUGGGCGCAAGCCUGAUGCAGCCAUGCCGCGCGUAUGAAGAAGGCCUUCGGGUUGUAAAGUACUUUCAGCGGGGAGGAAGGGAGUAAAGUUAAUACCUUUGCUCAUUGACGUUACCCGCAGAAGAAGCACCGGCUAACUCCGUGCCAGCAGCCGCGGUAAUACGGAGGGUGCAAGCGUUAAUCGGAAUUACUGGGCGUAAAGCGCACGCAGGCGGUUUGUUAAGUCAGAAGUGAAAUCCCCGGGCUCAACCUGGGAACUGCGUCGGAUGAUGGCAAGCUAGAGGCUUGUGGAGGGGGGUAGAAUUCCAGGUGUAGCGGUGAGAUGCGUGGAGAUCUGGAGGAAUACCGGUGGCGAAGACGGCCCCCUGGACGAAGACUGACGCUCAGGUGCGAAAGAGUGGGGAGCAAACAGG
RNAcentral lists this ribosomal RNA (429 nucleotides) under Chloroflexota bacterium. RNAcentral's name for it is "Chloroflexi bacterium partial 16S ribosomal RNA". It matches the Rfam family "Bacterial small subunit ribosomal RNA", at positions 355 to 776 of the family's 1533-position model. Lineage: Bacteria; Bacillati; Chloroflexota. The record is from RNAcentral.